UGGCUCAGUUUCCUGGGAGGUGGACGCAGCCUACUCCACCUCCCCUCAGAGGAGCCUAGAGUAGAGAGGCUGGACCUCCUUCCCCAUAGGAGAGGCAUUUGCGAAAGGAGCCUUGCCUGGGCUGCCUGGCCUCACAAGC
RNAcentral lists this small nucleolar RNA (139 nucleotides) under Dasypus novemcinctus (nine-banded armadillo). Its description in RNAcentral is "Small Cajal body specific RNA 21 (ENSDNOG00000044141.1)". It matches the Rfam family "Small Cajal body specific RNA 21". From Rfam's summary of the family: scaRNAs are a specific class of small nuclear RNAs which localise to the Cajal bodies and guide the modification of RNA polymerase II transcribed spliceosomal RNAs U1, U2, U4, U5 and U12. ACA68 (SCARNA21) is a member of the H/ACA class of snoRNAs that guide the sites of modification of uridines to pseudouridines. This snoRNA was identified by computational screening and its expression in mouse experimentally verified by Northern blot and primer extension analysis. Lineage: Eukaryota; Metazoa; Chordata; Mammalia; Cingulata; Dasypodidae. The record is from RNAcentral.